UAGGGAAUCUUCCGCAAUGGACGCAAGUCUGACGGAGCAACGCCGCGUGAGUGAAGAAGGAUUUCGGUUCGUAAAACUCUGUUGUUAGAGAAGAACAGCGCAUAGAGUAACUGUUAUGCGUGUGACGGUAUCUAACCAGAAAGCCCCGGCUAACUACGUGCCAGCAGCCGCGGUAAUACGUAGGGGGCUAGCGUUGUCCGGAAUCACUGGGCGUAAAGGGUUCGCAGGCGGAAAUGCAAGUCAGGUGUAAAAGGCAGUAGCUUAACUACUGUAAGCAUUUGAAACUGCAUAUCUUGAGAAGAGUAGAGGUAAGUGGAAUUUUUAGUGUAGCGGUGAAAUGCGUAGAUAUUAAAAAGAAUACCGGUGGCGAAGUCGACUUACUGGGCUCAUUCUGACGCUGAGGAACGAAAGCGUGGGUAGCAAACAGG
RNAcentral lists this ribosomal RNA (428 nucleotides) under Bacteroidota bacterium. RNAcentral describes it as "Bacteroidetes bacterium partial 16S ribosomal RNA". It matches the Rfam family "Bacterial small subunit ribosomal RNA", at positions 355 to 776 of the family's 1533-position model. The record is from RNAcentral. Lineage: Bacteria; Pseudomonadati; Bacteroidota.